UCUUCGAGUCGUUGAUUUCACACUGCCGAGAAAAGCCUCUAGAUAGAAAAUAGGUGCCCGUACCGCAAACCGACACAGGUAGUCAAGAUGAGAAUUCUAAGGUGAGCGAGCGAACUCUCGUUAAGGAACUCGGCAAAAUGACCCCGUAACUUCGGGAGAAGGGGUGCUCUUUAGGGUUAACGCCCAGAAGAGCCGCAGUGAAUAGGCCCAAGCGACUGUUUAUCAAAAACACAGGUCUCUGCUAAACCGUAAGGUGAUGUAUAGGGGCUGACGCCUGCCCGGUGCUGGAAGGUUAAGAGGAGUGGUUAGCUUCUGCGAAGCUACGAAUCGAAGCCCCAGUAAACGGCGGCCGUAACUAUAACGGUCCUAAGGUAGCGAAAUUCCUUGUCGGGUAAGUUCCGACCCGCACGAAAGGCGUAACGAUUUGGGCACUGUCUCAACGAGAGACUCGGUGAAAUCAUAGUACCUGUGAAGAUGCAGGUUACCCGCGACAGGACGGAAAGACCCCGUGGAGCUUUACUGUAGCCUGAUAUUGAAAUUCGGCACAGCUUGUACAGGAUAGGUAGGAGCCUUUGAAACGUGA
RNAcentral lists this ribosomal RNA (583 nucleotides) under Staphylococcus aureus. Its description in RNAcentral is "partial 23S ribosomal RNA". It matches the Rfam family "Bacterial large subunit ribosomal RNA", at positions 1583 to 2167 of the family's 2925-position model. Lineage: Bacteria; Bacillati; Bacillota; Bacilli; Caryophanales; Staphylococcaceae. The record is from RNAcentral.